This 253-nucleotide ribosomal RNA is filed under the name uncultured bacterium. Its description in RNAcentral is "partial 16S ribosomal RNA". It matches the Rfam family "Bacterial small subunit ribosomal RNA", at positions 524 to 776 of the family's 1533-position model. The record is from RNAcentral.
UACGGGGGGGGCAAGCGUUGUUCGGAAUUACUGGGCGUAAAGGGCUCGUAGGCGGCCAACUAAGUCAGACGUGAAAUCCCCAGGCUCAACCUGGGAACUGCGUCUGAUACUGGAUGGCUUGAAUCCGGGAGAGGGAUGCAGAAUUCCAGGUGUAGCGGUGAAAUGCGUAGAUAUCUGGAGGAAUACCGGUGGCGAAGGCGGCAUCCUGGACCGGCAUUGACGCUGAGGAGCGAAAGUGUGGGGAGCGAACAGG